AGGACGAACGCUGGCGGCGUGCUUAACACAUGCAAGUCGAACGAGGUUUAAUCAAUCGCAAGAACGAGGACGACCUAGUGGCGAACGGGUGCGUAACACGUGAGGAACCUAUCCCAGUCUCUGGAAUAACAAGUGGAAACACUUGCUAAUACCGGAUGUCGUUGGAGCACCGCAUGGUGGACCAACGAAAGAUUUAUCGGUCUGGGAGGGCCUCGCGGCCUAUCAGCUAGUUGGUGAGGUAACGGCUCACCAAGGCGUCGACGGGUAGCUGGUCUGAGAGGAUGAUCAGCCACACUGGGACUGAGACACGGCCCAGACUCCUACGGGAGGCAGCAGUGGGGAAUCUUGCACAAUGGGCGAAAGCCUGAUGCAGCAACGCCGCGUGAGGGAUGAAGGCCUUCGGGUCGUAAACCUCUUUCGGCAGGGACGAAGCGAUCAGUGACGGUACCUGCAGAGAAGCCCGGCUAACUACGUGCCAGCAGCCG
RNAcentral lists this ribosomal RNA (485 nucleotides) under uncultured bacterium. RNAcentral's name for it is "SSU rRNA". It matches the Rfam family "Bacterial small subunit ribosomal RNA", at positions 26 to 517 of the family's 1533-position model. The record is from RNAcentral.